UUUUACCUCUUUUCCGCAUUUUAUCGCUUUCUUAGCUGGAAGACCUCGAUAGGAGGCAUUUGUUUUCUUUUGUUUAUUUACUUCUGAGCCCCUUGUUGGCACAUUUACUUUAUACAUGUUUGUUUUGUAUGUGUUCGUAUCCCUGCAGGUAGCGCAGUUCCUUCGUCAAGGACUUCCUUUUUGCCCUUGAGCAUCCCAAACCCUAAAACCCAAAGCA
RNAcentral lists this long non-coding RNA (217 nucleotides) under Lathyrus oleraceus (garden pea). Its description in RNAcentral is "Pisum sativum (pea) long non-coding RNA (PSAT_LNC026417)". The record is from RNAcentral. Lineage: Eukaryota; Viridiplantae; Streptophyta; Magnoliopsida; Fabales; Fabaceae.